Molecule: ribosomal RNA, 207 nt
Filed under: uncultured bacterium
Lineage: Bacteria
Description: partial 16S ribosomal RNA
Rfam family: Bacterial small subunit ribosomal RNA
Source: RNAcentral
CACGUAGGCCGUUUGGUAAGUCAGGGGUGAAAUCCCGCGGCUCAACCGCGGAAUUGCCCUUGAUACUGCUGGACUUGAGUUCGGGAGAGGGUGGCGGAAUUCCAGGUGUAGGAGUGAAAUCCGUAGAUAUCUGGAGGAACAUCAGUGGCGAAGGCGGCCACCUGGACCGAUACUGACGCUGAGGUGCGAAAGCGUGGGGAGCAAACA